GGCCCGGUAGCUCAGUUGGUAGAGCAGAGGAUUGAAAAUCCUUGUGUCGGUGGUUCGAUUCCGCCCCAGGCCACCA
This 76-nucleotide transfer RNA is filed under the name Noviherbaspirillum autotrophicum. RNAcentral describes it as "tRNA-Phe". It matches the Rfam family "tRNA". From Rfam's summary of the family: Transfer RNA (tRNA) molecules are approximately 80 nucleotides in length. Their secondary structure includes four short double-helical elements and three loops (D, anti-codon, and T loops). RNAcentral also lists the same sequence under 8 other names. Lineage: Bacteria; Pseudomonadati; Pseudomonadota; Betaproteobacteria; Burkholderiales; Oxalobacteraceae. The record is from RNAcentral.